This is a long non-coding RNA of Lycium barbarum (goji berry), 1056 nucleotides long. RefSeq lists it as uncharacterized. The record is from RefSeq and is a predicted model, not a curated record. The transcript is spliced from 4 exons. Lineage: Eukaryota; Viridiplantae; Streptophyta; Magnoliopsida; Solanales; Solanaceae.
AAUCAAGAUAAGAAUCCAAUAAUCCCAUUUCUUACUUAAAUGAAGACUAAAUGGAUUACUGCUGCUAAGAGCUUCCCCUAGAUUUGUUGUACGAAGAGCAUUUCCAUUUUUCCUUUCUAUUAAACACAGAGUACUUUCCUUCCGAUUGGCCCUCUCUGAAUCUCAUCCGGUGCACUUGCAGGAAAUCCACCUGUACCAGCCAAAGGAUCCAAAUGUCAUUUUUACAGCAUCCGUUAUUUAACAUGAUUCUCAUGCUCACUAGAUAUAUAUUUCAUAUUUGUCCCUCCAUGACAAGUCAUGUGAUCUAUUUGUUUUUUUUUCUUGUUAUGCAUGAAUUCUAACAGCGCCUACGGCAGAACAGACAUAUUGGGGACAUGGUAUUUAUGGUAUUCAAUCUGCAUCAAAGUUUUAUUUCGGGAAGCACAUAUCCCUUCUUAGCUUGGGGGAAUGUGCUAUGCUUGCAGCAAUGAUACCAGCGCCAGAGCUGCGGUCACCAUUCAGGGACUCUAGCAGAGGAAAGAUCUUCCAAGCUAGAGUUUUGAAAAGGAUGGUCGAAUUUGGAUCUCUUGAUGUCGAGGUGGCAGGCAUUGCUGUAAAACAACCUCUCGUAUUUAAUUCUGGAAGCUCAGAUCAUUCAGAUGGGUUCUUGAUUAUAUCGUCUUUUUCUCAAGAGCAUUCAGGUAUGAACACAGUGUGACGGAGGGUUAUUCGAAGUGAAAGAGGACAUGGAGAGAAGGGCAACUGGCGUAAAACGAUCGGGGAAGCAUUGAUUUCUGUCAUGGUUGAUGUUUCAGAUCAAAAGAAACAUCUUUUCAUGAUCAGACGUAUGACACCAACAAGAAGGGAAUUCAUUACCAAUUUGUGUGAUAUACAAAUUGGUGCAAUGACCUCAUGCAUAAAGAUCAUUCGAAGGGCUCAGCAAGGAACUCCAAAAAGAUCCCGGGAGAAUUCAGAAUUGGGCCUUUUGAUAGCACCAAAAGAUCCCAAAUGGAGGGACUUCAAACAUAAGUUCCUCCGUGUAAACGUUCUCUCAACUUUCGAACACUGAAGUGCAUA